CCUCCUCGCCGUCCCCCCUCCUCCCCGUCCCCCGGGCCGGAGCCCGCUCUGCCGGCGGCUCGGCGGCCGCCCCGCGCCCAUCAUGGCUGCGAGCGCUUCGCUGCUGCUGCUGCUGCUGCUGCCGCCGCUGCUGCGCGGCUGCGGGGCCAUCCCCGAGCCCCCCGAGCCGCCCGAGCCGCCGGGCCCCGAGCCGCCCGCGCUGCCCGAGUCGGCGCUGCUGCAGCCCACCGUGCUGCUCGCCAUCCUCGCCCGCAACGCCGCGCACACGCUGCCGCAUGUCCUGGGCUGCAUCGAGAGGCUCAGCUACCCCAAGAGCCGCAUAGCGCUCUGGGCAGCCACUGACCACAACAUUGACAACACCACAGCCAUGCUCAGGGAGUGGCUGAAGAACGUGCAGCACCUGUACCACGACGUGGAGUGGCGGCCCAUGGAGGAACCCCCGUCUUACCCAGAAGAAAUUGGCCCAAAGCAUUGGCCAAGCUCCCGAUUCACUCAUGUGAUGAAGCUGCGCCAGGCUGCCCUGCGUGCCGCCCGCGAGAAGUGGUCAGACUACAUCCUGUUUGUUGAUGCAGAUAAUUUACUGACCAACCCCCAGACCCUGGAGCUGCUGAUGGCAGAGAACAAGACGCUGGUGGCACCGAUGCUCGAGUCGCGCUCGCUCUACUCCAACUUCUGGUGUGGCAUCACGCCCCAGGGCUAUUACAAAAGGACCCUGGAGUACCCCCUGAUCCGGGAAUGGAAGAGGAUGGGUUGUUUUGCUGUCCCCAUGAUCCAUUCCACGUUCCUCAUCGACCUGAGGAAGGAGGCCUCCACCAAACUGGCUUUCUAUCCCCCACACCAGGACUACACCUGGACCUUCGAUGACAUUAUGGUCUUUGCCUUCUCCAGCCGCCAGGCAGGAGUCCAGAUGUUCAUCUGCAACCGCGAGCACUACGGCUCCCUGCCCAUGCCACUGAAGCCACAACAGUCACUGCAGGAGGAGGCUGAGAACUUCGUGCACACCCUGAUCGAGGCCAUGAUUGAUCGCCCUCCCGUGGAGCCCUCCCAAUACAUCUCUGUCCCCCCGAAGCGCCCCAGCAAGAUGGGGUUUGAUGAAAUUUUCAUGAUCAACCUGAAGCGCCGCAAGGACCGGCGGGAUCGGAUGCUGCGGACGCUCUACGAGCAGGAGAUUGCUGUGAAGGUAGUGGAGGCUGUGGAUGGAAAAGCACUGAACACAAGUCAGCUCAAAGCUCUCAGCAUCGAAAUGCUGCCGGGGUACCGGGACCCCUAUUCCUCCAGGCCCCUGACCAGAGGGGAGAUCGGCUGCUUCCUGAGCCACUACUAUAUCUGGAAGGAGGUGGUGAGCAGGGGGCUGAGGAAGACACUGGUCAUCGAGGACGACGUGCGCUUCGAACACCAGUUCAAGAGGAAGCUGAUGAAGCUGAUGGGUGACAUUGAGCAGGCGCAGCUGGACUGGGAGCUGAUCUACAUCGGCCGCAAGAGGAUGCAGGUGCAGGAGCCCGAGCGAGCCGUUCCUAACGUGCGGAACCUGGUGGAGGCUGAUUACUCCUACUGGACCCUGGGCUACGCCCUCUCCUUGCGCGGUGCCCAGAAGCUCAUCGGGGCCGAGCCCUUUGGCAAGAUGCUGCCCGUGGAUGAAUUCCUGCCCAUCAUGUACAACAAGCACCCCGUCACCAAGUACAUGGAGUACUACGAGCCCCGAGACUUGAAGGCCUUCUCAGCAGAACCCCUUCUCGUCUACCCCACACACUACACCGGGCAGCCAGGCUACCUGAGCGACACAGAGACCUCCACCAUCUGGGACAACGAGACCGUGUCCACAGACUGGGACAGGACGCACUCGUGGAAGGCGCGGCAGCAGGGCCAGAUCCACAGCGACGCCCAGAACAAGGACACGCUGCCCUCACAGUCAUCACUGGGUGCACCAUCCUCCAGGGACGAGCUAUGACUGCCCGCCUCCCCAGACUGCGUGGGCAGCUGAACCUGCCGCACACUUCGGCUUUUCACCCUUGGAAGUUGUAGAGCAGCUCUUCACGUGGUCUCCUUCCCACCGCUGCCCGGGCGUAGGGCUUGGGCUGGACGCCUGCCCUGGCCGAGGACAGUGUGGGACUCGAAGGAGAGAAAAGAACAAGUGUUCCAAAAGAACAAACGUUCCAAAAGAACAAGUUUUGUUCCAAAAGAACAAGUGUUCCAGAUCUGAGCAAAAGCCCCGGCAAGCUUUCAUUGAAAGAAGCCAGCCAGGAACAAUGUUUCUACAGUUCCUGGUGUAGAACACUGUAUUUAUAAAGAUUAAUAUAUAGAGGUGCACAAUGUCAGUGCCUUUUGGGAUGGCUGUAGUCAGGCUGCUGCCUCACUGUCACUCCUUGUAGGUCUGUAGGCUUUUGCCACCCUGUUUGCCGAGCAUCUGGGGGGGGUUUGGGUUUUUUUUCCAAAGGGAUCCCUGUCCGAACCACGAUGUUUCCCCAAAAUGUUCAGUGCAGGGGAGCAGUGCUCCUCUGUCGUGUUGUCGCCCCAUCCCUCUGGCUGCUUCCCCCAGCUCCCUUCUGUUCCUGGUGCAUCCCAUCUGCACAGGCCUGUGUGUCCACAACCAAUGUCUUGGCUCAUCUGAAGCCAUGGAAGUUGCGCAAGUGGAGGUGGCUGGAGUUKUCUGUGGCCUGCUCAAAGGGAGUGCCACGUCCUUCUUCACCCCUGCCUCAGCUCAGUACUUCAGGAAGACAAAACACCAGAGCCCAUCAGCAGGCCUCAUUACUUAGGCCAUAAAAGCAAGGGUAGGAGUUUUGGGGACUUUAAAUUUUAAAAGUUAGGUUACGAACUCUGCUUAUGAAAGCGAAAGAACCUGCAGCAAUGUGACUGUCUUGACAGCCUGGUAGAAUUGUGUGUUAGAGGACAGAAAGGCGACUUGCCUGGAUAUUUUUUCACGGGAGGAGCACACCUGUUUUUUGGAUGAGUUCUGAUGUACCUGCUGUUGGCUCACAUGCCAGCAGGGUAUGGUGUGUAUUUUUUUUUUAAAGCCUUUUUGAGAGGCCAGGUGAUCAGACUACGCUGCUUAGGGCAGCUGGCACAGACCCUGAGCUGCUGGGCAGUGGGAGGAUUCCCUCCUGAAAUUGCCAUCCAGGGACUCACCUGCUGGCAGAUCUGUGCAUUGAGUGUGUGUGGCUGGGGUUUUGGUUUCAAUUUUAGUUUUGUAUAAUUCCUGAUCAAUGUUGUGCUUUCUGCUACAGAUGACGUGCUUCUACCUGUCAGCCGGUCUGAUAAUACAUAGAACCUGGUGCAAAUGGGCAGCUGUGCGUGUGCUUCAUUGAGGGGAAUCCUGGGAUGGCUGGGGGGUGUGAAGGCACCUGGAAAGCUCCCAUCCCUGGCCGUAGGCAGGGGCCCCUUCCUCCAGACCAGGUUGUUCUGAAUGCUCCCUAAAUAUUCCUGGAGGUUAAUGGGAGUCCAGCUCAGGGGAUUCCUGGCUGUCCUCUCCCCUGAAGUCCCUGGCACUACAAAGGUGCCCAUCCUGCAGCUCCCACUGGAGGCCAAGCUGCUACUGCUGUCCCCGUGGGAGCAGGGGCCCCACGCCCUGGUGAGUGUGGGGGUUCCACAGUGGGGCUGGGACCAUCCUUCCUCACAGCCCCUUGUGCUUCCUCUGCAGGUCUGGCUGCACGAGCCCCCUCGGGCCAGGGUCAAGGAUGAUGGAGGUCCCAGAGGUUGGUGAGCAGCUCCUGCAGGGGCAGAGCUCCAUCACCAGGGUCCAAAAUGUGCACUCACACUUGCUCCAGAGCAACAUGAAAUGCAACCCUUAACACACACGRCCAGAGCGUGCUGCUGUGCUGUGACUGCACUUGUGCACACACUUCACCAGAAUAACCCUGCACUGCUCAGGGCAGACURUGGAGCAGGAAAUGGCCCCAGCACAGCCAAGUCCAAGUCUGCUCUCAAGCCCCAGGAUGGAUAUUUGGCCUGGCUUCAUUCAGCCUGAGGUAACCCCAGCACCUUUACUCCUGCAGGACAUUCAUUAUCUCUGACCAACAAGGAUCAGGCUGAAAGGAGAGACGGACAGCAUUUAUUUCUCAGUCCUGUGUACCUGGUUUGCCCUCUGCACCCUUUUAUCUAUACACRGUUUUCUGCAGGAGAAGGAAGAUAUUUAUUAACUGUGUGUUCUGGAAAGCAAAGGUCUUCUGCCACCAGGUCUGGUUCAGCUGCUAAAAACAAACAGCCUUGUCCAGAGGGCAACAAUAAAUCAACAGUCACAAAAUGUUCAACUUACCCUUCGUCUCUUCUCAAAAUUGAUCAGGCCACCCUAUUGGAAGGAAAGGGAAGGAAGGGAUCAGAGAAGAGCCAUUUAUCUCUGUCCCUUGAGAUAAAUGCACUCAAAUUUACACAAGUUCUGGUUAAUGACACAGGAAGCGUAUUGCUUCCUUUUUUUUCUUUGAAAACAGGUAUUUUAAGAGCUGCAGAAGGACAAGAUACAGGAAUUGAUAAACUCAGUUGUGAAGGCAGGGAGGGUAUUCAGGAUUCCAGAAAAUGGCCCCAAAUUACCUCAACA
This is an RNA transcript of Malurus melanocephalus (red-backed fairy wren), 4528 nucleotides long. It is a transcript of the gene named collagen beta(1-O)galactosyltransferase 2, with no coding region annotated. Lineage: Eukaryota; Metazoa; Chordata; Aves; Passeriformes; Maluridae. The transcript is spliced from 13 exons. The record is from RefSeq and is a predicted model, not a curated record.